GUAAAAACUAAGCUAUUGUUAUUAUUACUACAAUGUAUCAAUAGCCUUCCCUAAAGUAUAUAGAACACUCACCUCAAAAAGCUCACAGUUUUAAGUGGAGAGAGAAAAAUAAUGCAUAGAAAGUAUCUAAUAAUUCAAGAAAAAAAGAAUUUAUUAUUCAAACAGAAAGUAAUGCCCCUCAAACCUCAAUUCUAGGUAGACUCUUUUGGUUGCAAGAAAAAGAUCCACUCAACCUAGCUCAACUGAGAAAUCUCCUCAAAGGUAUCUCAAGGAACACAAAGAUUUGAAACUCCUUUAAAUUUGAAGAGUCUGGAUUUAACUGACAAGGAAACAUGUGAGAAGCAAUGGAAAUGGAUUGUAAAUGUCAGCAUCAUGUUUGAUCAUACCAAGCACUGAAGAUAAAUUCCUUCUGUAUUAUGGUUUUGCUGAGAAAGAAAAUCCCAGUUGGGACACCAAUCCUGAUCACCUGGACUUCGUCCCAAAAAGUAUGUCUGAAAUGGGCCUCAAUGAGGAGAAAAUUGUAAGAUCACCAAUCCUGUAUCCUUUGUAUCUUUAAGGGUGACACUACCCUAUCCUGUUGUUUAUUGUUUUAUUGUUUUUGG
This 602-nucleotide long non-coding RNA is filed under the name Pan troglodytes (chimpanzee). RNAcentral's name for it is "lncRNA (ENSPTRG00000054076.1)". The record is from RNAcentral. Lineage: Eukaryota; Metazoa; Chordata; Mammalia; Primates; Hominidae.